Molecule: long non-coding RNA, 1622 nt
Filed under: Homo sapiens (human)
Lineage: Eukaryota; Metazoa; Chordata; Mammalia; Primates; Hominidae
Description: HSALNT0319163
Source: RNAcentral
UUUAGCACAAUGAUUAUUCCUGUUUUACAGACAAAGAAAUGGAGGCUCACAGAGGUUAAGAAGUUCUAGGGCUGGGAUUUGAACCCAGGGGUUCUAAAAGCACAUGCUUUUAGCCACAGUGUUAUCCUGUUUCAACAGCUACUAGGUGCCUGCAUAAACAUGAGCAGAUAAGAUGGGAGAAUGAAGGUAUUUGAAAUAUGUGGAUUUAAAGCAUCUAGUAAUGAUUAUGAAGAUGCUGAAGGGAUAUGGCUUUGGAUUACAGCAAUAGGCAAGAUGUUAUCUGUUAAUAGACUAAAGAACAGAGAAGUGAUUUCUGUGACUAUAGAGCAAUUUAAAGGAAGAGCUGAGAUUAAACAGUCCCACAUCUGCUUCACUGCUUUGGCCUGCAUGAACUCUCUAAAAUAGAGAUCUGCUGUGCUUAAGAUCCUUCAAUGGUUUCUCCCAAGAUAUUGGGAUCUCUGAAGACAAGGACUGUGUCCCCAGAAACUCAUCGACUCUCUGGUGUCUCUGGGUCUACGCACAUGAUGUCUCCAAGGCCAGGUAUCAUUAUUUAUCUAAAUCUCCGGAGCCAUUGAGGACCAAGAUCAUACUUGCUGAAUAAAUGCACGGAGCAGGAUCAGAGGAUAGACACAGAAUGGGCCAAGAAGAGAAAUAUUAUUCCUCAUAAGAGCUUGCUUGAUUGCAACCACCAAGGACAUCCACAAACCAGGGCAAGAAGGACCAUCCGUAAUUCUUUCCCAUAAAUAGUGACAGGAAGAAAAUAAACGCCCUAUUCUUCAAUGAUUUGAACCACCUCUGGAGCACAAACUUUCUCUAAAUUCACAGGGCAAAUAUCCAUCAUGGGGCAGGUAUCUAUGCUGCCAUGGAAAGUAACAUAAAAUGUACUAAGUCAUCACAGGGAGUUUUAAUUUUGUUUUUAAGGUCAAUUGCCAUGCUGGGGUAAAAAGCAUUGAUCCUUGCCUUUUAUCACCGGAAAAAUUCUUCACCAGUACUUUGUGAAAAUCUCGCCUCAUCAGGGCUGCCAAGGUCAAUGCAACCUAAGUAACCAAGCUGGGAGAUGCUUGCCUAAUUAUUAAAUAUUUAGCAAACAGUUUGUGACUAUUUAACUGUUUGCACCUGGCACCCUCUUUUCACUACGUGAGGCCUCCUGGCACCCUGACCUCUUCCCCCACCCCUACCCACUGCCCAGGCCGCCAGCACCCCUGGGGGGCAAAUACCGGGACCCAAGGGCAUUUCAAAGAAACAGCAGAGGUCACAUUCCAUUUCCUUUUUAUUAAAAAACAUACUUAAAAUGGGGGAGGAGGGCACAGAUCUAAGGUAAAAUCUCUUGCAGUUUUUUCAAGUUCGCAUGCACCGUUGAAAGUUCAUUAGUUAGGGAUUUAAAAGCAAAAAUGUUUCACACAACCAAUUAAACGCCAAGCUUUACAAACGCCUUGGUCUUUGGUUUUGGGAAUCUGUAAAAGUCCGCCUCCCCCCACCCGAGUUUUGCCCCUUUUAGAGCCCCUUUGUUGAAUUACGUGACUUUUCCCGAAGUCAUCAAACUUUGAAUUGCGUCUCUAAUUUUUUUUUUCAGGGCAAAAGCAAAUCAAGAAAUUAAACUUAAAAGUAGGCGACUCGGAGAG